AUCAGUGUGAGUGUUGGAAAGAGCUUGCAGGAGGCUCGUACUUGACCCAAAACCAGGAACACUAGGCACACCUAUGCCGCCCAAUGUACCCCACCAGCCCAGCAGACCCCAUAUCAAUCCCGGGUGAGAACUCCAGUAACUGCAAAUAAACAUAUAAAUGCAUGAAACUAUUAACAUGUGCAAGUUGUGAUAAAAACUGUGUGCAACCAUUGUGGUUUUUUAGUCAUUACACAACAGUACAUAUAAAUACUUACGUGCAGGUACCAGGGACAGGAGAAUUUGGGUCAAAUGGAGGUGUGGGAAUGGUAGGGGUGCCUGGAGUGAUGGAUGGUGGGCUUGGGGUGAUGGUAUCAGGAGGGCUUGGGGUGACAAUAUCAGGAGGGCUACCGCCUCCGUAAGUUGGAGGAGAGUUGUAACCACCACCGUCGGAAGGAGGGCUACCGCCUCCGUAAGUUGGAGGAGAGUUGUAACCACCACCAUCGGAAGGAGGGUUUGAUGGAAUUGAUGGGGUUGAUGGGGUGCUAGGUUCAUUUGGUGGAUUUCCACAGUUUGAAGGUGGUGAUGGAGUUGGGUUGUAG
This 578-nucleotide long non-coding RNA is filed under the name Citrus sinensis (sweet orange). RNAcentral's name for it is "long non-coding RNA (CSIN_LNC002985)". The record is from RNAcentral. Lineage: Eukaryota; Viridiplantae; Streptophyta; Magnoliopsida; Sapindales; Rutaceae.